UCUACGGGUGGCUGCAGUGAGGAAUAUUGGUCAAUGGCCGGAAGGCUGAACCAGCCAUGCCGCGUGAAGGUCAGUGCCCUAUGGGCGUUAAACUUCUUUUGUGCGGGAGCAAUAAUGGUCACGUGUGGCCAGACGAGAGUACCGUACGAAUAAGCAUCGGCUAACUCCGUGCCAGCAGCCGCGGUAAUACGGGGAGUGCAAGCGUUUUCGGGAUAUAUUGGGUUUAAAGGGUGCGUAGGGUUUGUGGUAAGUCAGCGGUGAAAUGCCCCCGCUCACCGGGGUGAAGUGCCAUUGAUACUGGGGUGCUGGAGUGCGGAUGAGGUGGGAGGAAUGUGUGGUGUAGCGGUGAAAUGCAUAGAUAUCACGCAGAACACCGAUUGCGAAGGCAUCUCAC
Molecule: ribosomal RNA, 394 nt
Filed under: uncultured bacterium
Lineage: Bacteria
Description: partial 16S ribosomal RNA
Rfam family: Bacterial small subunit ribosomal RNA
Source: RNAcentral